UAAACACUUUUGUCUAACAAGUUGGGGCAUUCCCAAACGCUGACUCCACCCCUGUUGUCGGCCGCUGGCUCCCGACUCCAGACAGCUUAUGGCCUUGCUCUGAUGAAACGAAACCUCCUCGUUCAGGAGGACCCAGGGCAGGAGCAAGAGAGCCACUCGCCUCCAUCCGGCAGGGCAGCCGCUCCUCGGCUCAUCCCGCCAGGAUGCAGAUCCCGAGCGCGGGUUCUCACAGCAUCCCGAGAGGCUCCUUGUCCAGCAGGAGAUCUGCAGGGCACUAGUCCCUGCCCCACCCCGCACAGCCAGCCAGCCGGGCGUCGGGACACAGGGGACGCCUGCGCACAAGAACUGAGCUACCACCCGCCUGGCCCCGCCGAGGCGAAGGGUAACAAUACCCCUCAGCAGUAAGACAGGCUGGACAGGCGGCCCCGGUAGGGCUGCGCGCUCCCCGAUGCCUCGGCGCGCUCCCGGUGCUCAUCCGCCGGCACGUGAGCGCGCCCCGCGCGCGCGCGCGCCCAGGCCACUCUAGCUGAUAGGGUCGCCUCACCUGAGCCGGGCUCCGCCCCCCUUCUCCUCGCAGGAGGAGGCGAUGGCCCUCCUCCGCUCGGACGGACCCUGAGGAAGGAGGCGGGAAGGUCCAGACUGGCUUCCCCGGCAGUGACUUCCGCCCGCCCCGCCCCUCGCUCCCGGCUCUUUCAGCCGGUUCGCGCGGUUCUUUGAGAACCCGGCGGAGGCCAACAGUAAACGGAUGUGAGGUAUCCAUGUCACCGCCCCCACAGGCCUCCAAUGGCCAAUCAGAGGGAGGGCGGGGCCACGGUAGGCGUGACGUCCUGAAAAUCUGACCAAUCCGCAAUCCCAGGACCCCGGCUGUGUUUACUACCACAGCAUCCCUGAGCGCUCUGACCAAUCCCAAUUUGCCUUACAGCACGUAAAAUUGUUCUCAAAGGCCUUUGAAGGCGGGACUUAUCACUUAGCAACACCAGGUUUGGCCUGUAGAAAAGCUACUUUAUAUCACGUCCAAUCAGAACUCAGCAUGAAUAAGGAAAGCUAGUGUUUUCCGUCUACUUGAGCCAAUCGCAAUGACUACUUCCAGCCUUGAGUCCCUCCAUUGGCUCGAGCUGACGACUUUCCUACCUUCCUGGGGCAGUGACCCGGAGUGUGAAGGGCAGGGGACUUCCUCUGCCUGCGAGCUGGAGGUUACCUCUAACUUGUAGGUUUGGGAAAAGAUGGAAACGAAACCCCAAGAAGCCGCGUGAGUGGAAUGGAACCCAAAGGCAAACUUCACAAUGAGUAGGAAAUGCCGCCGGUCUAAUGGUGGUUGGGCGGAUCGUCGCCCGCAUCGCGUCUUGGUUGCCCAGACGUCCAGCGUAGCAAUGGGAGGGUCGGAACUCAGAGUCCGAGGUGUGCCCACCACGCCAUCGGCUCCAGAAUCAAGUUUACAGUCGCCACCGCCUUAAAACUUCAGGGCUCAGCCCUCUUAGCAAUGCCACAAGAGUCUGCUGGACCGGGUGGGAAAGAGGAAGGCCCGGCUGCCGCCUUGGCCUCCCGGUAGUUUCCUGCUCGGGGUACACCACCGAGCAGUAAAAUCAAGAUAUGUGUUCUAGUUAGCGUUUCUGUUGCUUUGAUAAAACUGACCAAAGCAGUUUGGAAGAGGAAGUGUUUAUUGGGCUUAUCACCAUCGUUUCGGGAAGACAUGGAAGGAACUCAUAGACUAACCAUAGACUAACGCUGCCUCCUGGCUUGGGCUCAGCUGUCCUUGUGCUCAGUUCACGCCAGCGUGAGGUUGCACAGGCCACAAGGGAUGAGCCCUACUAGAUCAAUUAAUUAGCAAGCAAUCCCUCUUCCCAAGUGACUACGAGGACAGUAUAAAAUUCUUAGUUGGUUCACAAGCUAAUAAGGGUUUCCUAAGGCUUCAUCUAUCCUUAGUUUGCAGCAGUUCCCAACCCCGAUAAACCCAUAUAAAACCACACAAUCCAGUUACUAUAAUUAUAAGCUAUGAGCCUAGACUGGGCUGCUCUAGCACUGUACUAACUUAUUCCCCAGCUUCGAGACCCUUUGCUACUUGCAGUUUCUCCUGGCCAUGUGGUUCUCCUCUUCCUCUUCUUCAGUCCUCUCCCCUUCCCUUCUCUUCCUCUCUACCAGUCCCUACUCUCCAAGACCUCCCACCUCUCCCCUCCCCUGCCCAAUUACAUCCUCUAGCCUUUAUUGACCAGUUAAAAUGGGGAGGAGGACGCCCUCCCCUUUCCCUCAUCCCAGGUUCCUUUUCGGGUUAACCCUUUAGCUCCUGACAUUCUCUCCCUUUUCUACCAUCCACUCCCACUACAAAUGUUUUUUUAAGAGAGCAUACAGAGCCGAAUACAGUAGAAUAAUAAUCAUGCAAAAAUACAACCCGGUGUGGUAGCUCACACAUUAUAUUCCAGUACAGGGAGGCAGAAGCAGAUGGAGCACUAUGAGUUUGAGUUUGAGACCAGCCUGGUCUACACAGUGAGUUCCAGACUAAGCAGAAUUCUAUAGCAGAAUUCUAUAGUAAGACCCUGUUAAAGAAGAAAAAGUGCAUAUGCACAGAAAUAAACCCAAGAGAUGAGACAGAAUGUUAGCAAUGGCUAUAUUAAAGGGAUGUGAGAUUGUGGGUUAGUACAAUUUUAUUACCUAUAUGUUUCUGUGUUUUAUAAUAGUCGACAUCCAAUAUGUGUUACUUUAGUAAUUGUUUUAAUAAAUUAAUUUCAUGAAAACGAGAAUACUUAUAUGUUUAACAAGCUAUAAUAUAAAGCACCGAUUCUUUGUUUUUAUUUUUUAAAUUUUUGUCAUGUUUCAUUUAUUACUGUUAUUGUUGUACACAUAUGUGUGUGUGUGCACAUGUGCAUGCAUGCAUGUGCCUCAGCACAUAGAGAAAAGCUUGCUGCAGUUGUUUCUGUCUCCACUGUGAGGUUUAUGGGUGUUGAGCUCAGUUGCUAAUCUUUCACAGCAAAUUCCUUUUCCCACAGAACCACUUCACUGGCCCCACAUCCUCUUUUUAUUAAAGAAUAUUGCAAGAAUGUUGUGACUUAACAUUAACAAAGUUAAAAACAUCAACUUAGCAAAGUCAUCUUUGUUGUUGUCUGUUGAGUGUGUGGGUACAUUCCUAUAUCCUAUCAGCAGAAGAGUCAAGAGGAGUUCAAGUUCUGAGUUAACCUGGGCUACUUAGUGAGUGUAAGGGUAGCCUUACAGUAAGACCCUAUCAAAGGAAAGUUAUUGUUUUGUUUACUGCUAUUCCAAAGUUAUCAAGAAGUAUGUGAAUAUGAACACAAUCAGGCAAAUAUUAGGAAGCCAACAUUCCCUUGAUCCAUUAGAGGCCAGCCUGAUAUAUGGAGUGCAUUUCAGGACAGCCAGGGGUAAAUAAUAAAUAAAUAAAUAAAUAAGUGCACAUAGUGGUCUGUAGGGUGGGGAGUUGAAGAUGGACUGUCUGCUCUGUACAGCUUGCUGGGAGAUUGGUACUGACGCAUGUGGGACAUCAGAUCUGGGUAUAGUGGCGUAUGGCUCCCAGAGGUACCUAGGAUGGAAAAGAACUGUUUUUAAGUGUUGGUGUGUGAGAAACAGCAGAGAGCUGGGUGGAGUUGCUGAAGCUGAUAGAUGGAA
Molecule: long non-coding RNA, 3612 nt
Filed under: Mus pahari (shrew mouse)
Lineage: Eukaryota; Metazoa; Chordata; Mammalia; Rodentia; Muridae
Description: lncRNA (MGP_PahariEiJ_G0003141.1)
Source: RNAcentral